Molecule: non-coding RNA, 78 nt
Organism: Podarcis lilfordi (Lilford's wall lizard)
Lineage: Eukaryota; Metazoa; Chordata; Lepidosauria; Squamata; Lacertidae
Source: the annotation of a GenBank genome assembly
AUAUGUGUGUGUGUGUGUGUGUGUGUGUGUGUGUACGUACACACACACACACACACACACACACACAGCACAGUAUGU